AGAGUUUGAUCCUGGCUCAGAACGAACGCUGGCGGCAGGCCUAACACAUGCAAGUCGAGCGCACCCUUCGGGGCGAGCGGCGGACGGGUUAGUAACGCGUGGGAAUAUGCCCUUUACUACGGAAUAGCCUCGGGAAACUGAGAUUAAUACCGUAUGUGCCCUUCGGGGGAAAGAUUUAUCGGUAAAGGAUUAGCCCGCGUUAGAUUAGGUAGUUGGUGGGGUAAUGGCCUACCAAGCCUACGAUCUAUAGCUGGUUUGAGAGGAUGAUCAGCAACACUGGGACUGAGACACGGCCAGACUCCUACGGGAGGCAGCAGUGGGGAAUCUUGGACAAUGGGCGCAAGCCUGAUCCAGCCAUGCCGCGUGAGUGAUGAAGGCCUUAGGGUCGUAAAGCUCUUUCGCCAGGGAAGAUAAUGACGGUACCUGGCAAAGAAACCCCGGCUAACUCCGUGCCAGCAGCCGCGGUAAUACGGAGGG
This 477-nucleotide ribosomal RNA is filed under the name uncultured Alphaproteobacteria bacterium. Its description in RNAcentral is "bacterial SSU rRNA". It matches the Rfam family "Bacterial small subunit ribosomal RNA", at positions 8 to 532 of the family's 1533-position model. Lineage: Bacteria; Pseudomonadati; Pseudomonadota; Alphaproteobacteria. The record is from RNAcentral.